This is a small nucleolar RNA of Centropristis striata (black sea bass), 69 nucleotides long. RefSeq annotates it as small nucleolar RNA U54. The record is from RefSeq and is a predicted model, not a curated record. The transcript has a single exon. Lineage: Eukaryota; Metazoa; Chordata; Actinopteri; Perciformes; Serranidae.
UGUGCUAUGAGGAUAAAAUUUUCUUCUGAUUAACCUUGAAGACUAGAAAUACGCUAUUCUGAGCCAUGC